This 404-nucleotide long non-coding RNA is filed under the name Musa acuminata (dwarf banana). RNAcentral describes it as "long non-coding RNA (MACU_LNC004904)". Lineage: Eukaryota; Viridiplantae; Streptophyta; Magnoliopsida; Zingiberales; Musaceae. The record is from RNAcentral.
UGCCAGUGCGACCUCCAAGGUGGCCACCGCGAGCUGCAUUCCCGGGCAAAUCCUUCUUCCUGAACCGAACGGUGUGAAGUCGAAGUUCUUUCCUUUGAAGUCCAGGUCGCUGCUCAUGAACCUCUCGGGCCGGAACUCUUCGGGUGCGUCCCAGUGUUUCGGGUCUCUGCUGAUUGCCCACGCGUUGAUCAGAACUCUUGUUUUCUUGGGGAUGUGGUAGCCUUGGAUCUGGCAGUCCUCGAUGGAUUCUCGCGGAAGCAACAAUGGAGUGGGAGGAUGCACCCGUAGGACUUCCUUGAGGACCGCCUUCAGGUAGACCAUAUCGUGCGUCUCGUCUUCUUUGACCAUGUCUUUCCCUGCAGCUAAUCCUCUCACCUCGUCCUGUAGCUUCUUCAGGGUCUCUG